RNAcentral lists this ribosomal RNA (253 nucleotides) under uncultured bacterium. RNAcentral describes it as "partial 16S ribosomal RNA". It matches the Rfam family "Bacterial small subunit ribosomal RNA", at positions 524 to 776 of the family's 1533-position model. The record is from RNAcentral.
UACGUAGGGUGCGAGCGUUGUCCGGAAUUACUGGGCGUAAAGAGCUCGUAGGUGGUUUGUCGCGUUGUCCGUGAAAACUCACAACUCAAUUGUGGGCGUGCGGGCGAUACGGGCAGACUGGAGUACUGCAGGGGAGACUGGAAUUCCUGGUGUAGCGGUGGAAUGCGCAGAUAUCAGGAGGAACACCGGUGGCGAAGGCGGGUCUCUGGGCCGAUACUGACGCUGAUGCGCGAAAGCCAGGGGAGCGAACGGG